GAAGCAAGCAGUCUCUUGCAGGUGGCAGAGGGAGCUAAGAGGGACUCACCGGAGAGGAAGAGGGCUCAGGCUGGAACUACACGAACCCAAAGCCUGCGCUGGUCAGGUGGUAACGGUUGGGUUUAACUUCUGAUCGGCCAGAGGAUGGCAGAAGAGAGAAGAAAAGCGGCAAGUGAUACUAGCGGUGACAUGGUGGAGUCAAUGCUGCCUUCUCUGGUGACAGCAGAAGAUAACAGGAGAGCUCCCAGUAAAUCAGUAUUUUGUUAUCUACUUGGUGCAUUGCCUAGGAAUGACUGGACUUCAUUUUGCUGGGCUCUGCACAAAAACAGAGAGAGAGACUGCCUCUGCCCCAUCUGAGAUCAGAGUACUUGAAGGCUAAAUGUACCUUGACCUUUUCCCCUUUUGUAAUUUCUACAAAAUAGGAGAGAGUCAUAGUUUCAAGUAGAUGUUCUUUGGUUGGUCUUGGCAAAGAUCUGCAAACUUACUCUUGUCAACCAAAUCCCCAAACCUUUCAGUCAAAACCUGCAAGACUCAAACAUUUAGAAUGGCUAUUCUUAACCUUGAGGAGCCAGGAGAUCCGUUCAAGGGCAUUAUUACAUCAGCACUGGCAGGUGUGACAGCACCUACACAUGAGUUUCAGCA
This is a long non-coding RNA of Alligator sinensis (Chinese alligator), 642 nucleotides long. RefSeq lists it as uncharacterized. The transcript is spliced from 3 exons. NCBI's taxonomy places the organism in Eukaryota, Metazoa, Chordata, Crocodylia, Alligatoridae. The record is from RefSeq and is a predicted model, not a curated record.